GUCUUUAUCGUCUAGUGGUUAGGACACUACCCUUUCACGGUAGGAACACGGGUUCAAAUCCCGUUAAAGAUA
This 72-nucleotide transfer RNA is filed under the name Eucampia zodiacus. RNAcentral's name for it is "tRNA-Glu". It matches the Rfam family "tRNA". From Rfam's summary of the family: Transfer RNA (tRNA) molecules are approximately 80 nucleotides in length. Their secondary structure includes four short double-helical elements and three loops (D, anti-codon, and T loops). The record is from RNAcentral. Lineage: Eukaryota; Bacillariophyta; Thalassiosirophyceae; Eucampiales; Eucampiaceae.